CAAGUACUCCAUUCCAAAUUGCCAUUGUGAAGUCAUCUUAAUAAUUCUUGUACACCAACAAACUCAGAACAGCACUGCUUCAGUUUCUCCCUACUGCUGCCAUUCUAGAGAUGAGAGAUGCACAAGCCAACCUCAGGGCUAUGCCACCAAAGGAAACCAUGUAUGCUCUUGGCCUGGCUAAACAUGGCACAGUUGGCACAUGGAUAAAGAAGGUCACCGUGGAAGCACAAACAGAAACAGCACAACAUUUUAUCCUUGUCACCACUUCGUGAACAAGCCCAAAGGAGCCUGCCAGUGGAUGAGACCCCAUGGAAGAGAUCCUAAUUGUCCCAAUCAAAGUGACCUUAAACCAGCCUACAGUCAGCCAGCCAUUGAACAUGUGAGAGAGCCCAGCCUAGAAAAACAGAGCUCCCUAUCUGGCCCAGAGUUGGCCAGAGACUCAGAGUGAGCUGGCCAACGUCAGAAGUAUCCAGCCAAACCAAGGGCAAUAAAUCAUACUGUUUUAGGCCACAGAGUUUGGGGUAGCUUGUUAUGUAACAGUGCUAACUGACACAGAGAACCUACUAUCUGCCCUCUGUUCAUGAGACAACAAUUCCUUCAUAGGAAGAAAAUACAUCUGUUAUUCUGGCAGAUAAACCCAUGGCCAGACUCUUGCCAUUUGAUUUCACUGGU
Long non-coding RNA from Callithrix jacchus (white-tufted-ear marmoset), 672 nucleotides. RefSeq lists it as uncharacterized. The record is from RefSeq and is a predicted model, not a curated record. Lineage: Eukaryota; Metazoa; Chordata; Mammalia; Primates; Cebidae.